RNAcentral lists this ribosomal RNA (474 nucleotides) under uncultured bacterium. RNAcentral's name for it is "bacterial SSU rRNA". It matches the Rfam family "Bacterial small subunit ribosomal RNA", at positions 8 to 502 of the family's 1533-position model. The record is from RNAcentral.
AGAGUUUGAUCCUGGCUCAGAAUGAACGCUGGCGGCGUGCUUAACACAUGCAAGUCGAACGGUAACAGAAGAGCUUGCUCUUGCUGACGAGUGGCGCACGGGUGAGUAAUGCAUAGGUAACGUGCCCCUUAGUCUAGGAUAGCCACUGGAAACGGUGAUUAAUACUGGAUACUCCUUCUUCCUUAAUGGAAGUUGGGAAAGUUUUUCGCUAAGGGAUCGGCCUAUGUUGUAUCAGGUAGUUGGUGAGGUAAUGGCUCACCAAGCCUAUGACACAUAGCGGGUCUGAGAGGAUGAUCCGCCACACUGGUACUGAGACACGGUCCAGACUCCUACGGGAGGCAGCAGUGGGGAAUAUUGCACAAUGGAGGAAACUCUGAUGCAGCAACGCCGCGUGGAGGAUGACGCAUUUCGGUGUGUAAACUCCUUUUAUAUGGGAAGAUAAUGACGGUACCAUAUGAAUAAGCACCGCUAACU